UUCCGGUUGAUCCUGCCGGACCUGACUGCUAUCGGAUUGAUACUAAGCCAUGCGAGUCAUUGUAGCAAUACAAGGCAUACGGCUCAGUAACGCGUAGUCAACCUAACCUAUGGACGGGAAUAACCUCGGGAAACUGAGAAUAAUGCCCGAUAGAACACUAUAUCUGGAAUGGUUUGUGUUCCAAAUGAUUUAUCGCCGUAGGAUGGGACUGCGGCCUAUCAGUUUGUUGGUGAGGUAAUGGCCCACCAAGACUAUUACAGGUACGGGCUCUGAGAGGAGUAGCCCGGAGAUGGGUACUGAGACACGGACCCAGGCCCUAUGGGGCGCAGCAGGCGAGAAAACUUUGCAAUGUGCGAAAGCACGACAAGGUUAAUCCGAGUGGUUCCUGCUAAAGGAACCUUUUGUUAGUCCUAGAAACACUAACGAAUAAGGGGUGGGCAAGUUCUGGUGUCAGCCGCCGCGGUAAAACCAGCACCUCAAGUGGUCAGGAUGAUUAUUGGGCCUAAAGCAUCCGUAGCCGGCUCCGUAAGUUUUCGGUUAAAUCUGUACGCUCAACGUACAGGCUGCCGGGAAUACUGCAGAGCUAGGGAGUGGGAGAGGUAGACGGUACUCGGUAGGAAGGGGUAAAAUCCUUUGAUCUAUUGAUGA
This 648-nucleotide ribosomal RNA is filed under the name uncultured archaeon. RNAcentral's name for it is "bacterial SSU rRNA". It matches the Rfam family "Archaeal small subunit ribosomal RNA", at positions 1 to 656 of the family's 1478-position model. The record is from RNAcentral.